RNAcentral lists this unclassified non-coding RNA (24 nucleotides) under Mus musculus (house mouse). RNAcentral's name for it is "oocyte_clustered_small_RNA13394". The record is from RNAcentral. Lineage: Eukaryota; Metazoa; Chordata; Mammalia; Rodentia; Muridae.
UACGGUCACCACCAAGAGCAGAGA